RNAcentral lists this ribosomal RNA (483 nucleotides) under uncultured bacterium. RNAcentral's name for it is "partial 16S ribosomal RNA". It matches the Rfam family "Bacterial small subunit ribosomal RNA", at positions 28 to 507 of the family's 1533-position model. The record is from RNAcentral.
GACGAACGCUGGCGGCGUGCCUAACACAUGCAAGUCGAGCGGGGAUUUAAGUGGAAGUUCUUCGGAAUGGAGAUUUAAAUUCUAGCGGCGGACGGGUGAGUAACGCGUGAACACUCUGUCCCGGACAGGGGGAUAACACUUGGAAACAGGUGCUAAUACCGCAUAAGACCACGGCCUCGCAUGGGGCUGAGGUAAAAGGAGCAAUCCGGUUCGGGGUGAGUUCGCGUCCGAUUAGCUAGUUGGUGAGGUAACGGCCCACCAAGGCGACGAUCGGUAGCCGGCCUGAGAGGGUGAACGGCCACAUUGGAACUGAGAGACGGUCCAAACUCCUACGGGAGGCGGCAGUGGGGAAUAUUGGGCAAUGGGCGAAAGCCUGACCCAGCAACGCCGCGUGAGGGAAGAAGGUUUUCGGAUUGUAAACCUCUGUCCUAUGGGACGAAGGAAGUGACGGUACCAUAGGAGGAAGCCCCGGCUAACUACGUG